CCUACGGGUGGCAGCAGUGGGGAAUAUUGGACAAUGGGCGAAAGCCUGAUCCAGCCAUGCCGCGUGUGUGAAGAAGGCCUUCGGGUUGUGAAGCACUUUCAGUGGGGAAGAAAGCCUUGGGGCUAAUACCCUCGAGGAAGGACAUCACCCACAGAAGAAGCACCGGCUAACUCCGUGCCAGCAGCCGCGGUAAUACGGAGGGUGCGAGCGUUAAUCGGAAUUACUGGGCGUAAAGCGCGCGUAGGCGGUCUGAUAAGCCGGUUGUGAAAGCCCCGGGCUCAACCUGGGAACGGCAUCCGGAACUGUCAGGCUAGAGUACAGGAGAGGAAGGUAGAAUUCCCGGUGUAGCGGUGAAAUGCGUAGAGAUCGGGAGGAAUACCAGUGGCGAAGGCGGCCUUCUGGACUGACACUGACGCUGAGGUGCGAAAGCGUGGGUAGCAAACAGGAUUAGAUACCCGUGUAGUC
RNAcentral lists this ribosomal RNA (465 nucleotides) under Vreelandella stevensii. RNAcentral describes it as "partial 16S ribosomal RNA". It matches the Rfam family "Bacterial small subunit ribosomal RNA", at positions 338 to 795 of the family's 1533-position model. The record is from RNAcentral. Lineage: Bacteria; Pseudomonadati; Pseudomonadota; Gammaproteobacteria; Oceanospirillales; Halomonadaceae.